CCCUUGGAGUUGCUCUGACUACGGAGGCAGUACUUUGGCCAAAAGAAGUCAAAUUGGCUUGAGCCGAGGUUCAGCCGUUCAGGUCGCCGACGCCGCGCACGUCCCAUCCGAUGGCUGCCGCAGUCCACCUCCGGCCUCUCCACUCGUUCGCCUUCCCUCUCCCCGCAGUGAAGGCCGCGCCCAGCUGGCUCCCGCUCCAGGCGAAACCCGGCGCGCGGAGGACGGGCAGCCGCGUUGCUCUGCUCGUCCCCUCCGCGUCUGCCCCCGCGCCAGCGUCUCCAUCUCCCUCGGGCAAGGAUGGCACCACUGCGUCGGCUGCGACAAAGUGGGUGGAGUGGAUCCCGCGCGCUGCGGCAGGCGCUGGGUCGGCAGUGGGCCCCGAGCAGGUGCUCAGGCUCAUCUCUGGCGCCGCGGCCACGCCCAUCUGCCAGUUCGUUGACAGCCCGCGAACCUUUCUCCAUUCCGUCGACCCGCGCGUCAAGCUGGUGUGGCUCUUGUCCCUUGUUGUCCUACCAGCCAGGUCAAAUAUUUAUAUGCGGUUUGGUUUGGUAGUAUUCCUGGCCCUUAUUUCAAUGUGGGUUUUACCAAAUCAUGUUUGGAAGGAUCAACUUGGAAGGGUUACUCUUCUUUCAGGAUUCAUAUUCAUCAUGCUGGGAUUUGGUGCUGAUGGUGCACCUUCAUUAGUCCAGAUGAGAACGCCUCCACCUUCUGUUCUAGGCAUACCGAACAUUCCUUGCUCCACAAGUGGGUAUUCUUACACAAUCUUGAAACUGGGACCACUGCAAUUUACAAGGAAAGGCCUAUCAUUAGCAAGUACUUCAGCAAGCCUCUCCUUUGCAAUAUUCCAAAGUGCAAGUCUCUGCUUGACAACAACCACUCCUGAGCAGCUUGCUUCUGCUUUGUGGUGGUUUAUGAGUCCACUGAAGCAUAUCGGUGUGCCAGUGCCUGAGAUAAUACUUACAUUACUACUCUCAUUGAGGUUUAUCAAUUUAGUAUUUGAUGAGGUUCGCAACUCAGCUCUAGCGAUUGUAGCACGCCGGAUAAAUUGGAAAAAGCUGACAGCUAUGGAAACUAUAGAUAUUUUCUUCAGCUAUGUCCAACGGAUAUUUAAAAAUAUAUUUGAUCAUGCGGAGCAAAUAUCCAAGGCAAUGGUAGCUCGAGGAUUUCGUGGUAAUCCAAUCAAUCACAAGAUCUACUUUCUCACAGAAUCAUCAUUUGGAAUUGCGGAUUUCUUUUCGUUGCUUUGCCUAUUGGUUGUAGUGAGCUUGGCUUCCUUUUCUGACCAAUUAGUUUGAUGGUAACAAAAAGGUAUUCAUGGAUAUCCACCUGUUUAAUUUUGUUUUGGUGAUAACAAGAAUGUUGUGGAAAUGAGCUAGAGUAUGAUCCUCCAUUUGAAACUGGUGCAAAAUAUCAUACUAAGGGCUAGUUUGGAAACUUAAAUCUCAUUCGGGAUUCCUAGGGAUUGUGUGGAAAAAUAGCUCAUUUUUCUCUCAAUCUCUGGGAAUCCCAGAGGAGAUUUAAGUUUCCAAACUAAUCCUAACAUGACGUUCCAAGCAGGCAGAACAUGUCUUGGAUAUUUUUGCGAGGCAGAUAAUCACGGAAAAAGCUAAAAGCACACGUGAACUGUUUGAUGAUGUUUGUUGAGUUGACCCUAGUUAGAAAAAAAACGUGAGCGAAUAUCAUUGAAAGGAAAUUGUGUCCGCAAUGUAUCCUUGUUGAAAUGGAAUUGUGUUCCCAAUUGUAAGUAGUAUUAGGUCUAUCAUAAGUCAAACUUUUCUAGCUUUAAUCGAAUUAACAGAAAACUGUAGAAAAUAUGUACAGCAUCAAAUAAGAUUCAUUGUAUCACGCA
RNA transcript from Zea mays, 1849 nucleotides. It is a transcript of the gene named Protein ABCI12 chloroplastic, with no coding region annotated. The transcript has 8 exons. NCBI's taxonomy places the organism in Eukaryota, Viridiplantae, Streptophyta, Magnoliopsida, Poales, Poaceae. The record is from RefSeq and is marked provisional.